AUUGAACGCUGGCGGCAUGCUUUACACAUGCAAGUCGAACGGCAGCACGGGGGCAACCCUGGUGGCGAGUGGCGAACGGGUGAGUAAUAUAUCGGAACGUACCCGGAAAUGGGGGAUAACGUAGCGAAAGUUACGCUAAUACCGCAUAUGCCCUAAGGGGGAAAGCGGGGGAUUCGCAAGAACCUCGCGUUUUCGGAGCGGCCGAUAUCGGAUUAGCUAGUAGGUGAGGUAAAGGCUCACCUAGGCGACGAUCCGUAGCUGGUCUGAGAGGACGACCAGCCACACUGGAACUGAGACACGGUCCAGACUCCUACGGGAGGCAGCAGUGGGGAAUUUUGGACAAUGGGCGCAAGCCUGAUCCAGCCAUGCCGCGUGAGUGAAGAAGGCCUGGUGUAAGCUCUUUAGUCCGGUAAAGAAAACGAC
Molecule: ribosomal RNA, 423 nt
Filed under: uncultured bacterium
Lineage: Bacteria
Description: bacterial SSU rRNA
Rfam family: Bacterial small subunit ribosomal RNA
Source: RNAcentral